UGAACAUUGUUACUGAUAGGGGU
Molecule: non-coding RNA, 23 nt
Filed under: Cricetulus griseus (Chinese hamster)
Lineage: Eukaryota; Metazoa; Chordata; Mammalia; Rodentia; Cricetidae
Source: RNAcentral